Molecule: ribosomal RNA, 253 nt
Filed under: uncultured bacterium
Lineage: Bacteria
Description: partial 16S ribosomal RNA
Rfam family: Bacterial small subunit ribosomal RNA
Source: RNAcentral
UACGGAGGGGGCUAGCGUUGUUCGGAAUUACUGGGCGUAAAGCGCACGUAGGCGGCUUUGCAAGUCAGAGGUGAAAGCCCGGGGCUCAACCCCGGAAUUGCCUUUGGGACUGCAUCGCUAGAAUUGUGGAGAGGUAAGUGGAAUUCCGAGUGUAGAGGUGAAAUUCGUAGAUAUUCGGAAGAACACCAGUGGCGAAGGCGACUUACUGGACACAUAUUGACGCUGAGGUGCGAAAGCGUGGGGAGCAAACAGG